Molecule: ribosomal RNA, 465 nt
Filed under: uncultured bacterium
Lineage: Bacteria
Description: bacterial SSU rRNA
Rfam family: Bacterial small subunit ribosomal RNA
Source: RNAcentral
CCUACGGGGGGCAGCAGUGGGGAAUAUUGCACAAUGGGCGCAAGCCUGAUGCAGCCAUGCCGCGUGUGUGAAGAAGGCCUUCGGGUUGUAAAGCACUUUCAGCGGGGAGGAAGGGUCACUAGUUAAUACCUAGUGGCAUUGACGUUACUCGCAGAAGAAGCACCGGCUAACUCCGUGCCAGCAGCCGCGGUAAUACGGAGGGUGCAAGCGUUAAUCGGAAUUACUGGGCGUAAAGCGCACGCAGGCGGUUUGUUAAGUCAGAUGUGAAAUCCCCGAGCUCAACUUGGGAACUGCAUUUGAAACUGGCAAGCUAGAGUCUUGUAGAGGGGGGUAGAAUUCCAGGUGUAGCGGUGAAAUGCGUAGAGAUCUGGAGGAAUACCGGUGGCGAAGGCGGCCCCCUGGACAAAGACUGACGCUCAGGUGCGAAAGCGUGGGGAGCAAACAGGAUUAGAUACCCCAGUAGUC